Alligator mississippiensis (American alligator) is the source of this 142-nucleotide small nucleolar RNA. The record is from Rfam. NCBI's taxonomy places the organism in Eukaryota, Metazoa, Chordata, Crocodylia, Alligatoridae.
CUUCAGUGAGGAUGAGAUGACGAGUCUGAAAAGAGAGAUCCUCGGCCCAUUGUCCUUAUCCAUGUUACGUUCUGUAUCACGGAUGUCUGGACUUUGAGUCUGAGUCCUCUGCUGAUGACUCAGAGGCAUUUGUCUGAGAAGG